GAACAUCUUGCUUGAAUUAUGUAUUUGGAUUACUCGGUACUGCGUCAUAAUGUCUACCAUGUAUUUACGUAAAAACGUACCAGACUCGGUAAGCAAUGGUCAUGCAUGUUUAUUGGAAAACGGAAAAAGAAAACCCGCUUAGUCGAUAUUAGGCUUCGUUGGACCUGGUUUAUUUCGAGGCACAGUCAAGUAUAGAGGGGCGGAGAAGAAUGAGAAUGCAGGCAGCGUCUGCAUUCACCAAAUUGGAGCGGCCAGAAACGAAAAAGGAAAAGUGGCAAAGGGCCAGUCAGUGGACCGUCUUCCCUGGGCCGAAACGUUUCGGGUAUACUUGGUAGUCGUCUCCUGGGUACUCUUUACAAUCGUCAUUCCGAUCUCUCUCGCCUCCUCCCGUCUCUUCCUGUCUCUUCGUCCCGGUCUCGCUCGAGAGAGUCCCAAGUAACCGGCGAUAACGCGUACCCUGGGACCACCCAUGGCCACCCCGACCAAUACCGUCCAUCAUCGGCUGAACGAGGAAUAGGGAGUGCCGGAUUCUCGCCAACCCUUUGACAAAGGGUGCAGCUCGUGGAACCCGCGGAAAAUACCCUGGACUGGGCUGGACAGUUUUGCGCAACGAGUGGCCCCGCAAACAAAAGCAAAAUCAAGAAAAAUCACCACAACAAUUCGGAACGUACGGGGCCGUACGGAAAAGGUUCACCAAUAUGGAAGCGUACUACAGCUAAAAAAAAAUUGAUAACAUUCAAAGAUGUACGCAUUAGAAAAUUAUAAAUACCCGUGACAUUGUAUAACUACCGUAUUAGUGGGUUUUUUCUCGAAUUAGAUGUAAUGUUACUGCAAUUUAUCGUGGCAUUGAAAUAAGUAUGUAAAUCUACAUGGGUAUCUUUGUCCGUGUAUACUGAAUAUCUCGCUUGAUCAAA
Long non-coding RNA from Orussus abietinus, 914 nucleotides. RefSeq lists it as uncharacterized. Lineage: Eukaryota; Metazoa; Arthropoda; Insecta; Hymenoptera; Orussidae. The transcript is spliced from 3 exons. The record is from RefSeq and is a predicted model, not a curated record.